Molecule: ribosomal RNA, 253 nt
Filed under: uncultured bacterium
Lineage: Bacteria
Description: partial 16S ribosomal RNA
Rfam family: Bacterial small subunit ribosomal RNA
Source: RNAcentral
UACGAAGGGGGCUAGCGUUGCUCGGAAUCACUGGGCGUAAAGGGUGCGUAGGCGGGUCUUUAAGUCAGGGGUGAAAUCCUGGAGCUCAACCUCGGAACUGCCUUCGAUACUGCGGGUCUCGAGUCCGGGAGAGGUGAGUGGAAUUCCUAGUGUAGAGGUGAAAUUCGUAGAUAUUAGGAAGAACACCAGUGGCGAAGGCGGCUCACUGGCCCGGUACUGACGCUGAGGCGCGAAAGCGUGGGGAGCAAACAGG